This 332-nucleotide ribosomal RNA is filed under the name uncultured bacterium. RNAcentral's name for it is "bacterial SSU rRNA". It matches the Rfam family "Bacterial small subunit ribosomal RNA", at positions 29 to 386 of the family's 1533-position model. The record is from RNAcentral.
AGCGAACGCUGGCGGCAGGCUUAACACAUGCAAGUCGAGCGCCCGUAGCAAUACGGGAGCGGCAGACGGGAGAGUAACACGUGGGAACAUGCCCUUCGGUUCGGAAUAACUCAGGGAAACUUGAGCUAAUACCGGAUACGUCCGUAAGGAGAAAGAUUUAUCGCCGAAGGAUUGGCCCGCGUCCGAUUAGCUUGUUGGUGAGGUAAUGGCUCACCAAGGCGACGAUCGGUAGCNGGUCUGAGAGGAUGAUCAGCCUCACUGGGACUGAGACACGGCCCAGACUCCUACGGGAGGCAGCAGUGGGGAAUAUUGGACAAUGGGCGCAAGCCUGA